AGCAGCAGCCGCGGGAAUACGGAGGGUGCAAGCGUUAAUCGGAAUUACUGGGCGUAAAGCGCACGCAGGCGGUUUGUUAAGUCAGAUGUGAAAUCCCCGAGCUUAACUUGGGAACUGCAUUUGAAACUGGCAAGCUAGAGUCUUGUAGAGGGGGGUAGAAUUCCAGGUGUAGCGGUGAAAUGCGUAGAGAUCUGGAGGAAUACCGGUGGCGAAGGCGGCCCCCUGGACAAAGACUGACGCUCAGGUGCGAAAGCGUGGGGAGCAAACAGGAUUAGAUACCCCUGUAGUCCCUGUCUCUUAUAC
RNAcentral lists this ribosomal RNA (303 nucleotides) under uncultured bacterium. Its description in RNAcentral is "partial 16S ribosomal RNA". It matches the Rfam family "Bacterial small subunit ribosomal RNA", at positions 507 to 807 of the family's 1533-position model. The record is from RNAcentral.